UUCAAGAGUACGUGAAACCGCUCAGGGGUAAACCUGCGAAACUCGAAUGAACGAACGGGGAGAUUCAUCGUUAUUCAGCGGCGUGGCGGCGCGCUCUCUCGAUGCCGCGCGGUCUCGGCCGUGCGGUACGGGGCGCGUCGUUACUACGUUCGCCGACGGCGUGCACUUCUCCCUUAGUAAUGCAUCGCGACCCGUUCGAUGUCGGCCUAAGCUCCGUUCGGGAGUCGCCGUUGUCAACUUUCGGGUUGCAGCGGCGACCGUGACGGCGGCCGGCCGGCUGUCGGACGGUAUUUGUACGGAUCGCGUACGCGUUAACGCGCGUCCGGCCCGACGCAAGGUUGCGUCUGUCACCCCCGUCCUGCCAGAGCGCGGGCGGGGGUGCGGCGCGCCUGGUGUCGCAGCCGUGCUGUCUCGGACUGUACGCGUGCCGUGUCUGCGAUGAUUCAGUUUCGGGCACUCGCAGGACCCGUCUUGA
This 475-nucleotide ribosomal RNA is filed under the name Scotopteryx chenopodiata. Its description in RNAcentral is "eukaryotic LSU rRNA". The record is from RNAcentral. Lineage: Eukaryota; Metazoa; Arthropoda; Insecta; Lepidoptera; Geometridae.